RNAcentral lists this RNase P RNA (399 nucleotides) under Planctomycetota bacterium. RNAcentral's name for it is "Planctomycetes bacterium (wastewater metagenome) RNase P RNA component class A". It matches the Rfam family "Bacterial RNase P class A". From Rfam's summary of the family: Ribonuclease P (RNase P) is a ubiquitous endoribonuclease, found in archaea, bacteria and eukarya as well as chloroplasts and mitochondria. Its best characterised activity is the generation of mature 5'-ends of tRNAs by cleaving the 5'-leader elements of precursor-tRNAs. Cellular RNase Ps are ribonucleoproteins. The record is from RNAcentral. Lineage: Bacteria; Pseudomonadati; Planctomycetota.
GGAAAAAAGGGUGAUCGCUUUGAACAUAGCUUUAAAAGAGGAAAGUCCGGUCACCAUAGGACAAGGUGGUGGGUAACGCCCACCAGAAGUAAUUCUAGGGAAAGUGCCACAGAAAACAAACCACUUCAUUCAUAUUCUUAUGUCCUCCUUUCAUAAAUUUCUAUAUUGAAUGAAGUAAGGGUGAAAAGGCGAGGUAAGAGCUCACCGCAAAAAUGGCGACAUUUUUGGCAUGGUAAACCCCACCUAGUGAAAGGUCAAAUAGGAAAGAAGAAGUUGUCCGCUUCGUUAGACUUUUGGGUAGACUGCUUGAAUGAUAUGGCAACAUCUCAUCUAGAUAAAUGAUCACCACUUUUUAGAUAAAAUUAAAAAGGACAGAAACCGGCUUAUUUUUUUCCAUAC